This 451-nucleotide ribosomal RNA is filed under the name uncultured bacterium. RNAcentral's name for it is "partial 16S ribosomal RNA". It matches the Rfam family "Bacterial small subunit ribosomal RNA", at positions 354 to 796 of the family's 1533-position model. The record is from RNAcentral.
GUGAGGAAUAUUGGACAAUGGGGGGAACCCUGAUCCAGCCAUGCCGCGUGUGUGAAGAAGGCCUUUUGGUUGUAAAGCACUUUAAGCGAGGAGGAGGCUACCGAGAUUAAUACUCUUGGAUAGUGGACGUUACUCGCAGAAUAAGCACCGGCUAACUCUGUGCCAGCAGCCGCGGUAAUACAGAGGGUGCAAGCGUUAAUCGGAUUUACUGGGCGUAAAGCGCGCGUAGGUGGCCAAUUAAGUCAAAUGUGAAAUCCCCGAGCUUAACUUGGGAAUUGCAGUCGAUACUGGUUGGCUAGAGUAUGGGAGAGGAUGGUAGAAUUCCAGGUGUAGCGGUGAAAUGCGUAGAGAUCUGGAGGAAUACCGAUGGCGAAGGCAGCCAUCUGGCCUAAUACUGACACUGAGGUGCGAAAGCAUGGGGAGCAAACAGGAUUAGAAACCCGAGUAGUCC